This 477-nucleotide ribosomal RNA is filed under the name Cryptosporidium microti. RNAcentral's name for it is "SSU rRNA". It matches the Rfam family "Eukaryotic small subunit ribosomal RNA", at positions 514 to 1024 of the family's 1831-position model. Lineage: Eukaryota; Apicomplexa; Conoidasida; Eucoccidiorida; Cryptosporidiidae. The record is from RNAcentral.
AUGAGUUAAGUAUAAACCCCUUUACAAGUAUCAAUUGGAGGGCAAGUCUGGUGCCAGCAGCCGCGGUAAUUCCAGCUCCAAUAGCGUAUAUUAAAGUUGUUGCAGUUAAAAAGCUCGUAGUUGGAUUUCUGUUAAUAAUUUCAUAGUGUAUUUAACAUAUAUUAUAUGAUAUUAACAUAAUUCAUAUUACUAUUUUUAGUAUAUGAAAUUUUACUUUGAGAAAAUUAGAGUGCUUAAAGCAGGCAUAUGCCUUGAAUACUCCAGCAUGGAAUAAUAUAAAAGAUUUUUAUCUUUUUAUUGGUUCUAAGAUAAAAAUAAUGAUUAAUAGGAACAGUUGGGGGCAUUUGUAUUUAACAGUCAGAGGUGAAAUUCUUAGAUUUGUUAAAGACAAACUAGUGCGAAAGCAUUUGCCAAGGAUGUUUUCAUUAAUCAAGAACGAAAGUUAGGGGAUCGAAGACGAUCAGAUACCGUCGUAGU